GGCGGUGUCGCCGGUGUUGACCACGGCAACCUCCUGAUCAGGGGUCGUCGGCCAUCGGCCGGGGCGGUGGGGGGUGUGCGGAACACCGUGCCGACACC
This 98-nucleotide transfer RNA is filed under the name Klenkia taihuensis. Its description in RNAcentral is "tRNA-Ile". Lineage: Bacteria; Bacillati; Actinomycetota; Actinomycetes; Geodermatophilales; Geodermatophilaceae. The record is from RNAcentral.